AACAGGAUUAGAUACCCUGGUAGUCCACCCCGUAAACGUUGGGAACUAGUUGUGGGGACCAUUCCACGGUUUCCGUGACGCAGCUAACGCAUUAAGUUCCCCGCCUGGGGAGUACGGCCGCAAGGCUAAAACUCAAAGGAAUUGACGGGGACCCGCACAAGCGGCGGAGCAUGCGGAUUAAUUCGAUGCAACGCGAAGAACCUUACCAAGGCUUGACAUAUACGAGAACGGGCCAGAAAUGGUCAACUCUUUGGACACUCGUAAACAGGUGGUGCAUGGUUGUCGUCAGCUCGUGUCGUGAGAUGUUGGGUUAAGUCCCGCAACGAGCGCAACCCUCGUUCUAUGUUGCCAGCACGUAAUGGUGGGAACUCAUGGGAUACUGCCGGGGUCAACUCGGAGGAAGGUGGGGAUGACGUCAAAUCAUCAUGCCCCUUAUGUCUUGGGCUUCACGCAUGCUACAAUGGCCGGUACAAAGGGCUGCAAUACCGUAAGGUGGAGCGAAUCCCAAAAAGCCGGUCCCAGUUCGGAUUGAGGUCUGCAACUCGACCUCAUGAAGUCGGAGUCGCUAGUAAUCGCAGAUCAGCAACGCUGCGGUGAAUACGUUCCCGGGUCUUGUACACACCGCCCGUCAAGUCAUGAAAGUCGGUAACACCUGAAGCCGGUGGCCCAACCCUUGUGGAGGGAGCCGUCGAAGGUGGGAUCGGUAAUUAGGACUAAGUCGUAACAAGGUA
This 731-nucleotide ribosomal RNA is filed under the name uncultured bacterium. RNAcentral's name for it is "bacterial SSU rRNA". It matches the Rfam family "Bacterial small subunit ribosomal RNA", at positions 771 to 1498 of the family's 1533-position model. The record is from RNAcentral.